RNAcentral lists this transfer RNA (81 nucleotides) under Hordeum vulgare. Its description in RNAcentral is "tRNA-Leu". It matches the Rfam family "tRNA". Rfam says of the family: Transfer RNA (tRNA) molecules are approximately 80 nucleotides in length. The record is from RNAcentral. RNAcentral also lists the same sequence under 1 other name. Lineage: Eukaryota; Viridiplantae; Streptophyta; Magnoliopsida; Poales; Poaceae.
GUCAAGAUGGCCGAGUUGGUCUAAGGCGCUAGUUUUAGGUACUGGUCCGAAAGGGCAUGGGUCCAAAUCCCAUUCUUGAUA